UAUUGGUCAAUGGCCGAGAGGCUGAACCAGCCAAGUCGCGUGAGGGAAGAAUGUCCUAAGGAUUGUAAACCUCUUUUGUCGGGGAGCAAAAAGGCUCUGCGGAGUCGUAUUGAGAGUACCCGAAGAAAAAGCAUCGGAUAACUCCGUGCCAGCAGCCGCGGUAAUACGGAGGAUGCGAGCGUUAUCCGGAUUUAUUGGGUUUAAAGGGUGCGCAGGCGGCGUGUCAAGCAAGCGGUAAAAUAGCGGGUCUCAACCCCGUCGAGCCGUUUGAACUGGCGCGCUUGAGUUCAGGCGAGGUAGGCGGAAUUCGUGGUGUAGCGGUGAAAUGCAUAGAUAUCACGAAGAACUCCGAUUGCGAAGGCAGCUUACCAGUCUGCGACUGACGCUCAGGCACGAAAGUGCGGGGAUCG
RNAcentral lists this ribosomal RNA (410 nucleotides) under uncultured bacterium. Its description in RNAcentral is "bacterial SSU rRNA". It matches the Rfam family "Bacterial small subunit ribosomal RNA", at positions 362 to 770 of the family's 1533-position model. The record is from RNAcentral.